UUGGUACUCCCUCCGUCCAACAAAAGAUGUCUCAAGUUUGUCAAAAUUUGGAUGUAUCUAGACAUGACUUAGUGUAUAGCUGCAUUCAAAUUUAGUCAAAGUUGAGAAAUCCUUUGUUUGACGGAGUUAGUAUAAA
Non-coding RNA from Brachypodium distachyon (stiff brome), 136 nucleotides. NCBI's taxonomy places the organism in Eukaryota, Viridiplantae, Streptophyta, Magnoliopsida, Poales, Poaceae. The record is from Rfam.